UGAGACUUCACAUGCUUUAGCAGCAAGCGCCUGCACGUGUGUUUGUGUGCACGUGCACGUGUGUGUGUAGUGAAGCAAGCGGACAGACAUGAUUGUGCUGAGGGUGGUCGCGUUACUACAGGGUAUGCUGCUGGCCACACACUGCCAGCUCGGAGCGCGGGGCCCACAGGAGGGCGCGAGGGAGAGGCCAGCGCGUGCCCGCUGGGACCACGCGCCAACACAGCCAGCUUUCGGAAUGAGCCGCCCCAACGCCGGGGAAUACGGGCAGGGCCCGCAUGCCUUUGGAGACGUCCGCCCGGCCCAGGAGCAGGGGCACGGAGAACGCAGCAGCAGGCAUCCCUCGCAGGGACUGCCGGAGGAGACGCCGGACACUUCAGCAGACACAGGCAGCCCGGCCAUGCCGGCACGCACGGGGAACUGGUGUGCGUUUGUGCACAAACGUAUGGUUACCGUGGCAGUGUCCUGUGGUACUGAGAAAUACACCAUCAAGUCCCACAGCCCCUGUCCGAAUGGAACACCAGACUGUCAGCUAGUCAUGUACAAACUUUCGACACGACCGGUGUACAGAGAGAAACAGAAGAUCUUCACUGCUCUCCUGUGGAGAUGUUGCCCAGGUCACGGGGGAAAGAACUGCGAGGAACUAGUCGCAGAUAGCCGUGACCCAGAGAACGAAGACUCCCGCAGGCUGGACCCGGCAGGCCCUGAGCUCCUGCACACAGGGUAUGAGACACUAACCCACAACCAGAACAAUGAGCAAAAUGACCAUCAAGAUGAGGCCCUGAGCUCCAGACAGAACCAAUCAGAAGAGCACAUGUAUGACUAUGCCAAUAGCCCACAAGAGCAGUAUGAAAGAGGGGAUCCCAAUAAUGUGUAUGACGAACGCAGGCAUCUCCUACCUGAAGCAUCAGACCCAAACCCUGUGCUCCUGUCUGUCCUGAGAGACAUCAUGAUGUCUCACCUACAGCCAGUACUCGACGCAUUCAACCAGACACUAGAACGCCUGUCUGAGGAGAUGAGGGACCUUCAGAGGGAUGUGGACUACCUGCGGCUCCAUCAGAGGCCGGAGACGGAGCCCGGCGUGCCGGGUGGUCUAGGCGACGGACUGCAGCAGCUGCCUGAAAGCUUCCAGCAACUGAUGGACCUCAAGGUGGAGCUUGUGCUCCAGCAAGAUGAGAUGAUGCAGAUGUUGCACGCAGAGCGUGCCACGCUGCAGUACAACCUGACCAACUUCAAGAAAGACACGGACGUCAAAAUUAAACGCAACCAAAAGACACUGCAGACAAACAUCCUGUUCCUGAAUUCCUCACUUUUGGAGGUGAAACAAGAGCAAGACUGGCUGAAGACCGAGCUUGGGAGCAUUUUGGCACAUGCAAGAAUGCCAACCAGACAGGAAAAACCUCAGGAAGACGUAGCCGUCUGGGAGGCCAUUGCCCGCCUGGACAAUAAAGUGGUCAACAACACCGUGACACUCGGUGCCCUCAACAUAGGCCAAGCCCAAACAUCAAAGGACAUUGAACACCUUCAGCGGGACUGGGAGACCUUGGAGAAACGCAUAGACAAAACCCAUCGAAUGAAUGAGGACAGGUAUUACGAGGCUUUCCUUGAAGUGGAUGGAGCCAAACAGGUGGUUCAGAAGAACGUCCAUGACCUGGCCACCAAUAUCACCAUACUCCAAGAGAUGCUGCAGGAGAUGGAGGAAGACGUGGACUAUGUAUACAAAGGUUUGUAUAAGAAUAUAAGCUCCAGUGGUGCGUACUGCGACUGUGAGGCCCUCGGCAAAUCCGUGGCAGAGCUGAGACAGGCUUUGGCUAAUGUCACAGCGCUCGCUAACAAAAACAGGCUGAUUAUUGACAAAGCAGAGGAGGGGUUAUACUGGGGUGAUACUAACAGCGGUGCAUCAGUGGAUGAACUAAAGAUGGAUUUACUGAACGUGCAAAACUCGCUGGCAUUCGAGCAAAGCAAGAGCAGGACGCUGCACCACAAUGUGAGCACUCUCCGUAAGGCUGUCUUAGGGAGCCAAAUGGACAUCGAAGCGCUACAGGAACUGGACAGAACAAAGACUGCUUCUAUCAAAGAGCUGUAUGGCUCAUUCAACUCUCUGCUGAACGAUGUUUUAAGGCAUACCGAAAUAGUGAGGAUCCUUCUUGGCGAGGAGGUGCUAGAAUUUAUAGAUUGGCCUCAGCAAGAUCAAGAGACCUACUCCCUCCCCGCCCUGAAGGAGAGCAUCAGGGACAUGCAGGAACAGAUAAACGGGCACGCCCGGAGCCUGGCCUCUGUGCUGAAUUCUGCGCCACCCGAUACGGCCGGUGAUGAGCCCUCGGUGCUGGCCGACUGGAUCUCAACGGGUCUCAAAUGGGGACAGGGUGCCCAGAAAUUGGAACCAUCCUCAAAGGAAGACAAUACAGACCUGAACUUUUUGGUUUUGGAGAAAACAGUAGAACAGCUUCGAGCACAAGUAGUCAGGCUUGAAGAGAAGCAGUGCAUAUCCUGCUGCAACUGUACCAAAGGUGCUGCCCCCAAUGGUGUGGAGGGAAAACUACAGACAGAGCUGACUACUGUGCGCAAGAGUCUAGAUGAGCACCUAAGGAUGUUUAGCAGACUUUUCAGCAAUACAGAAGGUCUGCUAGAGUCUGAAGCAACGUUAGACCUGGACAGACUGUCUUCUCUGAUGAAGGAAAAAGAAACCAAACAGCAACAAAAGAGGGGAAAGAAGAGAGCAGGUGCAAGAGGAGGAGAACACAAGGAGCAUGCUGACCUUCGCAGCAAGAGGGACGCAUCACUGGAAACUGCAGUGUUUAGCAAGCUACCUGACGGCCCACUGAUGUUCCUGGCGAGCAGCCAAGAUGGCGUCAACACGCCUGGCACGGUUGUGUUCGAGACGGUGACCCUAAACCGUGGGCAAAUGUACUCGCCCAAGACGGGCACAUUCCGAGCGCCUAGACCGGGGGUUUACCUCUUUGUGCUGACACUGGACUUUGGGCCGGGGCCUUCUUUAGCCCGUCUGAAGAGAGGGGAGGAGGUAUCUGCCUCCCUGCAGCAGGGCCAGAGGAGGCUGGCAGGACCCGCGACUCGGGUCUGCCUCCUCCAGCUGGAGCAGGGUGAGGAGCUCCAGCUGGAAAUAGUACGCGGGACCCUGGAGCACAACCCACAGGACAACACCUUCGCAGGACUUCUGCUCUUACAGACCACCUGAGGGCGCUCUUCUGCAAGAAAGUACUGAGACGGGCGCUGGGAUGACAACAGGCAGAUGACACGCAGAAGUUCAUGUUCCCUGCAAGUUUCCAAUAGAACUUUCAUACUGAUUUCUCUUUCAUCACUGAUUAGGCACAUAAAGCUUUUAGAGGUCAGCCAUUCUACUGAGGACUGGGAAGACUCUCUCACUCCACACGUACAUCAGUCACACAGUAAAGGGCAAGGCUGCUGAAGAGAAGCCAUCAUGAAGCCAGCUCUGAAAGCCCUAGGAACCCAGGUGCUUUGCUGCAACGCACGAGACGAAAAGAGGCAGAUGCUUUUGUCACGUUGGAACAGACACCACUACUUAUUCCCCUUUCAAAGGUUCAGUUUGAGAGAACAAAGCUUUGUGCCAGAUUACUCUGUACAGCAACCAUUUGAUAUGAAGGACUUCACAUAAAUACUUAAGUUUAAAAAAAA
RNA transcript from Electrophorus electricus (electric eel), 3651 nucleotides. It is a transcript of the gene named multimerin 2a, with no coding region annotated. Lineage: Eukaryota; Metazoa; Chordata; Actinopteri; Gymnotiformes; Gymnotidae. The record is from RefSeq and is a predicted model, not a curated record.